GGCCACCAUGGAAACAAUGCUGAUCAUAAAAGAAACUCUCAAAUACUGAGAUGGAGCAGCUGAAACUUGUGAGAAUUUGGGAAAAUUAAAAGGAAAUCUUUCAAAGGAGUGCCUAUUAAUCAUAUCCAAUACUAUACAGUAAAUGUGAAAACCACAGAUUAUUUUUCCAAGAAAGAAAAGGCUAAUUUGCUGGAGGCAGUGGAGAAAAUCAUUAGAGAACUGGAAGAAUUACUGGAGUCACUUGAAAAUACCAUUUAAAACUCUGAGCAAUUCUACAGAGACUUUAUGGAUUUUUACUUUAUCCAGUGGUUGGGGAACUGAGAACUGAAAGAUUGCAUGCCUUUCUUGCAUGGACUUCACAGACUCCAUCAGGUUUCAAUGUAUAGAAGAUCCCCUGUUUGCAACUGUGCUUCUUUAGAAGUCACACUUUUAAUGUUUUCCUAAAAAAAAGUAGCAUAAUUGUUUCCAAUGUCAUUGAUAUUUACAAUGUAGUUGAUUUUGCAAAUUGAUGUUGCAACUUACAAUGUACAUAAUUUGAAAUGUUCUGGCCAAAAGAGAAUUUGUGCCUGAAAUAGUUGGUUCCUUGAUUGUUUUCAGUUAAUUGGAACAGAGAAGGUAGCAGGAGGGUUUGUCUUAUGGACAAAAUGCAGACCUCACUCAGCAUGGACUACUGUAUUACUUCACUUUCAGUGUUUAUCUCCAGAUUGUGACUUUUCAUUGAUUCUGCUAUGCUUUACUGACAUUUUUAAUAUUGUUUACUGUAUUCUUGUUGUUUUUCCUGCCAGCUACAAAACUUAGUUGAUUUUGAAGAAGUUUUGAAGGGGGAAUGUUCCAAUGUAUCUAAACUUUCCUUGCACACUGAAUAUAGAUAAAAGUCACAAUUAUAAUUCUGCCCAAUUCUGGCCAUUCCUACUGCAGGAAUGUAGGAACUCAUGCUCUGCAGCAGCCUUCAAUUGAGAUAAUAUGGGGAUGGAAUUGAGAAAAUACGCUGGUAUGUGUGAUCAGUGGCCAUCUGCAAAUCUGCCUUGGGUCUCUUGGGCUCCUGGACAGCCCCUGCCCCCUCCUAAAAAAAGCCUUAAAAAGUAAA
Molecule: long non-coding RNA, 1087 nt
Organism: Anolis sagrei ordinatus
Lineage: Eukaryota; Metazoa; Chordata; Lepidosauria; Squamata; Anolidae
Source: RefSeq, a predicted model, not a curated record